CGAGGAAUUUUGCGCAAUGGGCGAAAGCCUGACGCAGCAACGCCGCGUGGGGGAUGAAGGCCCUAGGGUCGUAAACCCCUUUUGCAGGGGAAGCUACUGACGGUACCCUGCGAAUAAGCCACGGCUAACUACGUGCCAGCAGCCGCGGUAAUACGUAGGUGGCAAGCGUUGUCCGGAUUUACUGGGCGUAAAGCGCGCGCAGGCGGCUCACCACGUCUGGGGUGAAAUCUCCCGGCUCAACCGGGAGGAGUCUCUGGAUACGGGCGAGCUUGAGGGAGGCAGAGGAGAGUGGAAUUCCCGGUGUAGCGGUGAUAUGCGUAGAUAUCGGGAGGAACACCAGUGGCGAAGGCGGCUCUCUGGGCCUUUCCUGACGCUGAGGCGCGAAAGCGUGGGGAGCGAACCGGAUUAGAUACCCCCGUAGUCC
This 424-nucleotide ribosomal RNA is filed under the name uncultured prokaryote. RNAcentral's name for it is "bacterial SSU rRNA". It matches the Rfam family "Bacterial small subunit ribosomal RNA", at positions 355 to 796 of the family's 1533-position model. The record is from RNAcentral.